RNAcentral lists this ribosomal RNA (468 nucleotides) under uncultured bacterium. RNAcentral's name for it is "partial 16S ribosomal RNA". It matches the Rfam family "Bacterial small subunit ribosomal RNA", at positions 28 to 507 of the family's 1533-position model. The record is from RNAcentral.
GACGAACGCUGGCGGCGUGCUUAACACAUGCAAGUCGAACGGAAAGGCCCUGCUUUUGUGGGGUGCUCGAGUGGCGAACGGGUGAGUAACACGUGAGUAACCUGCCCUUGACUUUGGGAUAACUUCAGGAAACUGGGGCUAAUACCGGAUAGGAGCUCCAGCUGCAUGGUGGGGGUUGGAAAGUUUCGGCGGUUGGGGAUGGACUCGCGGCUUAUCAGCUUGUUGGUGGGGUAGUGGCUUACCAAGGCUUUGACGGGUAGCCGGCCUGAGAGGGUGACCGGCCACAUUGGGACUGAGAUACGGCCCAGACUACUACGGGAGGCAGCAGUGGGGAAUAUUGCACAAUGGGCGGAAGCCUGAUGCAGCAACGCCGCGUGCGGGAUGACGGCCUUCGGGUUGUAAACCGCUUUCGCCUGUGACGAAGCGUGAGUGACGGUAAUGGGUAAAGAAGCACCGGCUAACUACGUG